RNAcentral lists this ribosomal RNA (494 nucleotides) under uncultured bacterium. Its description in RNAcentral is "partial 16S ribosomal RNA". It matches the Rfam family "Bacterial small subunit ribosomal RNA", at positions 28 to 507 of the family's 1533-position model. The record is from RNAcentral.
GACGAACGCUGGCGGCGUGCUUAACACAUGCAAGUCGAACGGUGAAGCGCCUUCCUUUUUGGUGGGUGUGGAUGAGUGGCGAACGGGUGAGUAACACGUGAGUAACCUGCCCCCUUCUUCUGGAUAACCGCAUGAAAGUGUGGCUAAUACGGGAUAUUCUGGGUCUGUCGCAUGAUGGGUCUGGGAAAGAUAUUGUUUCGGUGGGGGAUGGGCUCGCGGCCUAUCAGCUUGUUGGUGGGGUGAUGGCCUACCAAGGCGGUGACGGGUAGCCGGCCUGAGAGGGUGGACGGUCACACUGGGACGGAGACACGGCCCAGACUCCUACGGGAGGCAGCAGGGGGGAAUAUUGCACAAUGGGCGCAAGCCUGAUGCAGCGACGCCGCGUGAGGGAUGGAGGCCUUCGGGUUGUGAACCUCUUUCGCCGGUGAAGCAGGCCUGCCUCGUUUGUGGGUGGGUUGACGGUAGAUGGAUAAGAAGCGCCGGCUAACUACGUG